AGAAAGGCUCCAUCCAGCACUCCAACAGCGAUCUUGGGACCAGCUGGAACAGAAGUGGUCAAGGAUAGCCAGCCACCCGCAGAGCGGCAGAGAUCAGGAUCUGGGUGAAGCCGGUUUCCCAGCUGGGGAAGCGAGAGAAGACUUGUUAAAACAUCAGGUCAAACCAGAACCUUCCUCGGGCCGAGACUGACCGACAGGGUGAUACACCCGAAGACCUAUUCCCCCUUGCUGGACUGAACACCUUUCCCAGUGUGUCUUCCUCCGCAACGUACUGCCGCUUACUGUCAAAAUUGUUUCUCUCUCAGGAUACAAUGUUGCAGACUGCUGUGCUCUGGCGCAUUUUUGUAUCCCCAAGAUGUCCCGCAGGCCUUGAAAUAGAAGUGGUUAAUAAAACAAGGAAAUAUCGAGUGUGAAUGGAAGGGCCUCGUCUGCUUUAAUGUAAAAAUAUUUCCCCAUGUAUUAGACUAAAAUGCACGCUCCACUGAUAAGCAAUAAUGUUUAUCUUGUGUUUUCUACUACUCCCUUAGCAUACUGUGCUCCUGAGAAGAAGAUGUUCACACUGAGGAAACUUGAAUAUCUCAGUGUCUGCCUCAAAAAUCUCAUGGUCUUGUGUGUCUGUGUGUGUGGGGGGGGGAGUGUAAUCAGUAUUGUGUGAUAAAUGUGAUAGUCCAGAAGUUGCACCUCAUUCACAAGUUGAGGUUUGGGAAAGAUUUCCCAGAAGAAGUGAUGGCUAAUGGGAGACCUGAAGGACUGACUGGUUUAUAGCACAUCCUUCUGCUUUGUAAGAUUUUGUUUCCAUGCAGCUGUUUUGUAACUGUGUAGGUACACAUGCAAAUUCUGUCCUGUCUGAUAGAGGUUCAUUUGCAGCAGUUAUAACAUCUGCUAGUUUCCUCAUGAGUUAAAUAAAAUCUUUAACAGGU
This is a long non-coding RNA of Phacochoerus africanus (Common warthog), 920 nucleotides long. RefSeq lists it as uncharacterized. The transcript has 2 exons. The record is from RefSeq and is a predicted model, not a curated record. NCBI's taxonomy places the organism in Eukaryota, Metazoa, Chordata, Mammalia, Artiodactyla, Suidae.